GUUGACUUCUAGUGAUAGGAAUAUUCCAAUCAGAGUUCCACAUUCAUCUUGCUCUUUCAUUGGUGCUGAACUCUUAAAUCAAGGGUUUCUUUUGGUUUCCAUUGUGGAUAACAUUUUAAGCUCUAGCAUCUGUUCUAUGUUUAGGAUCUUCUAUAGUUCCCAAGUCAUGUUAAUCUCUAACAUCUUUUGGUUUCCUGCAUCAUGCAAAUAUUCAAAGAUAAUCCUGAAUUAGUGAAGCAUGAUAAAUUUUUAAUAUAUACUUCUUUCUUAGACAUUAUUGACAUUUUAUCUUGGAAUUAUUCGUUGGAUGAAAA
This 314-nucleotide long non-coding RNA is filed under the name Elaeis guineensis (African oil palm). Its description in RNAcentral is "long non-coding RNA (EGUI_LNC046437)". The record is from RNAcentral. Lineage: Eukaryota; Viridiplantae; Streptophyta; Magnoliopsida; Arecales; Arecaceae.